UUACCAACCCCGAAGCUGCACUACAAAGACAUACCAUUGUAAACCCAAAACCAAGUGGUAUGUUAAAAAUUAGGUGGACACUGUUUUAUACCUGACACGCCUGACUGUUUGUUGUGUACACAGAAUGAAAACUCCAAAAUUUUGAACAUACGACCUCAGGGUAAAGGUCCACUCAACUUCUAGGCCAUCACUCUUACGCGUAAAUAGAAGGCAUUGCACGCCCAACGAAUACCUUGUUUGACACGAGACGUUUAGACAAGAAAAUGGAUGAGCUGAUCACGCGAGGCUGGUAAAAGCAGGUCAAAGAUACCUGAGGGUUAAUGUUCUACAUUGUACCCAUUGACUGUUAGCAAUUUAAAUAAUUAAGUUUUUUAUAACACAUGGGCGAACGGGCAGUAGUUUAACCUCGUCUAAGUCCUCCGCCGAUGGAUAUAUUUAAAGAAGACUUGCGAGUGCCUCAUCUGCUUGGUGUAAUAUCUGAAAUGGUUUGAAAAGAAUUUAAUAGGCGGCUAGUGUCAUACAAGUGGGGUGCGACAAAAACGGCAUAGUAAAAUAAAGCAAUACCGAGUGACAAAUGACACUAAAUCUGUAUAAUCAUGUAAAAUAUAACAUAUUGAUUAGAUACAACGUCUAGAUACGGAAAUAGAAGGUGAUAUACAGAAACUUGUGAUAUUUCAUAUAGAAAUAUAUACCUUAUAUAUUUAUGCAUAGACAAAAACUGCCUCAAGAAACGCUCAGUUGUGGAACGACAAACGGAAUUUCGUAUGCAGCCAUUGCGGCUGAUUUUAGAUAGAACAGGGGGUAAAUUGACAGGGAGCUCACCUGAGGCCAAGUGAUACAACCGCCCAUGGGCACUCACAUUGCCAAGA
Pieris brassicae (large cabbage white) is the source of this 869-nucleotide long non-coding RNA. RefSeq lists it as uncharacterized. The transcript has 3 exons. NCBI's taxonomy places the organism in Eukaryota, Metazoa, Arthropoda, Insecta, Lepidoptera, Pieridae. The record is from RefSeq and is a predicted model, not a curated record.